RNAcentral lists this ribosomal RNA (401 nucleotides) under uncultured bacterium. RNAcentral's name for it is "bacterial SSU rRNA". It matches the Rfam family "Bacterial small subunit ribosomal RNA", at positions 356 to 773 of the family's 1533-position model. The record is from RNAcentral.
GAGGAAUAUUGCACAAUGGGCGCAAGCCUGAUGCAGCAACGCCGCGUGCGGGACGAAGGCCCUCGGGUCGUAAACCGCUUUUCUGGGGGACGAGCAAGGACGGUACCUCAGGAAUAAGUCUCGGCUAACUACGUGCCAGCAGCCGCGGUAAAACGUAGGAGGCGAGCGUUAUCCGGAUUUACUGGGCGUAAAGCGCAUGCAGGCGGCUGGGUGAGUCGGACGUGAAAGCUCCUGGCUUAACUGGGAGAGGCCGUUCGAUACUGCCCGGCUUGAGGUUGGGAGAGGGGUGCGGAAUUCCCGGUGUAGUGGUGGAAUGCGUAGAUAUCGGGAGGAACACCAGUGGCGAAGGCGGCACCCUGGCCCACACCUGACGCUGAGGUGCGAAAGCGUGGGUAGCAAAC